CAAGACCAAAGACCAAAGUAAAUAUUUGCACAGCACUAUCUCAGAGCAUCAGGGAAGGAAGAGGGAGGAGGGGCAUAAUACGAACAGGAACACUGAUGAUCCUGGUGUCGGGCUCAGCUCUGUUUCUGGGUGGAUGCAUGGCCUGUGCGAGACUGCCUUGCACUCCUUGAGGGCAAGCCUGCCUCUUCCCCAGUCUGAGACACCAGCAGAUAACGCCUGUGGAAAGAACAAGUCAAGGACAAGUGGUCAGGCAAGUGAUUCGCCCUGAUCCUCUAUUUCCUUGGCUAUCAUCUAGCUACUGACAAGAGCACUUUGGAGACUGAAUGACAUGAUGGGUGUGGAAGCAUCCAGAAUGGAGUUUAACAAGAAGCUCAUGCUCAAAAACAGUGUAAUCAGCAGCAAUUAAUUCUAAUCACAAGAAGACAGCAAGAAUGAACAGAGCAUUAAUUGGACAGAAGUAAUCAGAAUCUCCCUUAGCUCACAGUUGGUACUUGUAUGCAGGAGGACGUGAGCAGCCACAUGCAUGUAUACACACACAGUCUACAGGCCGUCAAAGGCUUCAAAAGAAUCCCUUGAAGUGGGCGUGAACACUUUACCUCUCUACAGAUGUGGAAACUGAGGCUCAUAGAGGUGGAGCAAAUUGGGAUUCAAAGUGCACUUUACCACACACAGAAAUUCAUCAUCUCCACUAAUGUCCAGCCUAAAGCUACGGGCAGUACAGUGGAGGCAGACAGACGUGCAUGCGUAGGCCUGUCGGGCGCUGUGAGAGAUGGACAUGAAGACUACCUGGAAAUUCAGCAGGUGGAGCCAUCAAUCUAAUGGGUGGCCAGGAAAGACUUCAGAGGAAGUGACUGACAGGGGAGAAGGUACUCACCGAGUGGGUGUAAGGAAGAGGAGUCUCCAGCCGGGAGAGACACAGUCCAGGCUGAGGGACAUUGUAAGCAAAAGUCCCACGACUCAAACCUCCCAGUCCAUUAAGGGAACUCCAAGGUGUCUGGCAUGACUGAAGGGCCCAGGGGCAGUGAGGGGAGAAAAGCGCUGGAGAGGCUUCCGUGGGCCUGUUCAUGGGAGGCGUUGGAAGCCACUAAGGAAACAUGACUUUUCCUAUAAACAGAAAAUAGAGAGCCACACAAGUGUUUUAUGGAGCACGUCAGGACUACAUUUGGAUUUUAUCAAGACUGUUUAGAGGCUUUGGUGAAGAAUUGGACAUUAUGAGUCUCAGGAGCAUGUAGAAUAGUUAGGGCACUUUUUUUAUAAUCCAAAUGAGAAUCAAUUAAAAAUGAUAAGGCCCUGAAUUAAAUCAGGGCCAGGGAGGACACAGCGAAGGGUACAAAUAAGAAACCUAUUAGAAAGUGAGAUGGAUAGUGGGGCCUAAGUUUACACUGAUUCUCAACUUUUGGACUUGAGACCAGAUGGAUGAUGGAGUCCUUCAUGGAAUUUGGGGAUGUCAUUAUCUUGUAAGUUUAAGUUUCAUGUUUGCAUCCUAGGUAACUAUCUUAGUCCUUCUCCUUGUUGGGCUGCUCUAACAGAAUACCUGAGGUUGGAUGACUUAUAAAGAAUAGAAAUUAAUUUCUCACAGUUCUGGACACUGGGAAAUCUGAGCUCAAGAUGACAGCAUCUGGUGAGGGCCUUCUGCUGCUGCACGUUCACAUGGCAGAAAAGAAGAAGGCAGAAGGACCCAAAGGGACAAACUCUAUGUCCUCUCAUUGCAUAAGAAUAGAAGAGAGGGCUGGGGAUGUGGCUCAAGCGGUAGCGUGCUCGCCUGGCAUGUGUGUGGCCCGGGUUCGAUCCUCAGCACCACAA
Molecule: long non-coding RNA, 1803 nt
Organism: Ictidomys tridecemlineatus (thirteen-lined ground squirrel)
Lineage: Eukaryota; Metazoa; Chordata; Mammalia; Rodentia; Sciuridae
Source: RefSeq, a predicted model, not a curated record